This is a non-coding RNA of Schizosaccharomyces pombe (fission yeast), 835 nucleotides long. The record is from the annotation of a GenBank genome assembly. NCBI's taxonomy places the organism in Eukaryota, Fungi, Ascomycota, Schizosaccharomycetes, Schizosaccharomycetales, Schizosaccharomycetaceae.
AUAUUCGACACCACUUAUUAUUGGAACGACCCAUACCAUAUCUUGAAACUCCAUGUGCUGUCCCAUUAGUUGUGCCAUUACUCCCAAACCGCCUAUUUUAACUCGAAUGCCCAGAUCGGGUACAUCAUAUUCUAAGGUGGCUACAAGAACAUUUAAUCGUUUUUCAGACUCUGGAAGCUGUUUGAGCAAUUCUGAACUAUUGUCGAGAGGUAAAUGAACACUAAAUGGAAAUAUCCGAGACAUUAUGCUCUUGAUCUUUUGUUUCGCAACUUUUAUGCCCCUAUUAUGGGAGCCGUUAAAAAUGGUAACUCUGGAAAAUGCGCCGCUGUACAAAGCUACCGAAAAAAUACCAAAUAGGGGUGGAAGAAGAAUCAGUAGAACAAUGGCAACGAUUUGAACUGUCCAAGAACCCUUUGGAAUAUAAUGUAACUGCCUCGUAAAAUCGUUCAGAUACAUUUUAUAAGAAAGGUAUGGUUUCGGGGGCGGAUCAAGGAAACGAAUAAAAUUAGAUAUACGACUACUUCCUGGGGGAACUCUAUCAAUUAUAGUAUCAUUAUCUAAAUCACCGUAAACCCAUCCUUGAUCGGCAUUAUUGUCUGGAUUCAUGCCCCAAACGUUUAGAACAAGUUCAGCAGGCCAAGUUGAAAUUAAAUCAUAACUCCAAGUCCGAUUCUCUAAAUUAUAUGACAUCUUACUUGGCAUUGAACCAUCGUAGCCAAAUCUGUUAAACGCACCUUGAACGAAAAGAUUAGGAAAUUGACGAGAAUAAUUUAACGUAUCACCAUGCUGAACGUGAGCAGUAGAAAGAGCGAUACUAGACCAGUAUUGAACUAUA